UACGUAGGUCCCGAGCGUUGUCCGGAUUUAUUGGGCGUAAAGCGAGCGCAGGUGGUUUAUUAAGUCUGGUGUAAAAGGCAGUGGCUCAACCAUUGUAUGCAUUGGAAACUGGUAGACUUGAGUGCAGGAGAGGUGAGUGGAAUUCCAUGUGUAGCGGUGAAAUGCGUAGAUAUAUGGAGGAACACCGGUGGCGAAAGCGGCUCUCUGGCCUGUAACUGACACUGAGGCUCGAAAGCGUGGGGAGCAAACAGG
This 252-nucleotide ribosomal RNA is filed under the name uncultured bacterium. Its description in RNAcentral is "partial 16S ribosomal RNA". It matches the Rfam family "Bacterial small subunit ribosomal RNA", at positions 524 to 776 of the family's 1533-position model. The record is from RNAcentral.